Sesamum indicum (sesame) is the source of this 1544-nucleotide non-coding RNA. Lineage: Eukaryota; Viridiplantae; Streptophyta; Magnoliopsida; Lamiales; Pedaliaceae. The record is from RefSeq and is a predicted model, not a curated record.
AGCUGCUCAAACAAGUUUAAAAUGUCCUGAUUCGUAAAUUUGCUAGGGUUUCUUCAACUGGAUAAGAGUUGCAUGUUUGGAUUGGUGUUUGGAAAUUCAGUGUGAGAAACAAUUGAGUUCUUUGAUUGAUUGAGAAAUGGCGUGUGUGUACACCAGUGCGGAAUUCGGAUGAGGAAGUGAAGGUGGUGCUUGAUGAACUCCCCCUGGAUGCCAGUUACAUUCUCAACAUUCUGAAAGUGGAGCAUGCUCCGCUGGUUAUCUGGCUCACCAUCGCCGUUGCCACAUUUCUGCAUGAAGCCAACAAGUUUUUGGAAAGGCAAAAUAUUUGUGAGAAGGAGUACUUCAUACAAGGAAAAGUUGAACAAUUUAAACAAAUAUUGGAAGAAGGAUGUAGUCCGGGUAUUAAGUCUUACAUUCAAUUGUUGAUGUUUCUUUCACAUGACAAAAGAAGAAAUUAUAUGCCAGAAGUUGAUGAAUAUUAUGCAAAUGAAACAUACGAGAGGACUGAAAUCCUAAAUUCUCUGGGGGGCCUGUUACAGCUACCUUGCAAAAGUUGAGAAUAAACAACGAGAAAAGGAAUAAUAUUUUAUAUAGGCUGCAAAGUAUUAUAACAAGGCAUCGAGAAUUGAUAUGCAUGAGCCUUCAACUUGGAUUGGGAAAGAUGAAUCUUCUCCAAUCCAAAUUGCAGCCUGUAGAGAUUCCUCCGUCCUUUUAGUUUAUCUGCUCUCUGAAUUUUGAGGAAGUUGGACAAACUAUAAAAGAGGUAAGCUUUUGAAGCUCAAUUGCAGCAAGUAACCAGAAGAGAAUCAUUUCUAUGCUGCUUUGAAGAGAACAUAGACCAAACUCAGUUUGAAGAGGGAUAAUUGGUACAUUUGUUAUUGAUGUGGCUCGCUUUUGGACCUGGCCUUUCUUUUUGCUAGUAUUGUUGCACUCUCGACUCUAUACACAUUAAGAUUUGAUUGCAGAGUUGCUAUACAGAAGUCCAGCAUUGACACUGCAAAAGAUGACCAGGACUGUGGACGAGGUCUUUCAGAAAAUUACAUUGGAGAAAAGGAAACAGGAGGAUGAACUGAAGCAGGUUUUGCAACGAGAGCAGCAUUUGAAGUGUAUCAAGGUCUUUCAGAAAAUUACAUUGGAGAAAAGGAAACAGGAGGAUGAACUGAAGCAGGUUUUGCAAUGAGAGCAGCAUUUGAAGUGUAUCAAGCUAUGCAGCAAAUGGUGCUGAUAUUGUAUUUGCUGAGAAAGGUUAGCCAAGGAUCUUCGAAUACAGUAUCAAAACUGUUUGCGGAGGUUCUACUACUACACUGAAACUUCUACUUAGCACGUGCACAUUAUGAAGCCCAACAGUGGCAAGACUGUCCACUUAGCUCCUUCAAAUUACACAUUAAGAUUUGAUGAUACAGAAGUUUGACACUUGAAAAGACCCAUCAGGACUGUGGAUGAGGUUAUCAUCUUAUCUUAUUUUUUAAGUUAUACCCAGCAACUUUUUUUUGGUAUAAUUAUCUUGAUAAGUGUUAUUCUUUUGAAAUCUCAAUGGUAAACAG